This 400-nucleotide ribosomal RNA is filed under the name uncultured bacterium. RNAcentral describes it as "bacterial SSU rRNA". It matches the Rfam family "Bacterial small subunit ribosomal RNA", at positions 356 to 772 of the family's 1533-position model. The record is from RNAcentral.
GGGGAAUAUUGGACAAUGGGCGAAAGCCUGAUCCAGCAAUGCCGCGUGAGUGAUGAAGGCCUUAGGGUUGUAAAGCUCUUUUACCCGGGAUGAUAAUGACAGUACCCGCAGAAGAAGCCCCGGCUAACUUCGUGCCAGCAGCCGCGGUAAUACGAAGGGGGCUAGCGUUGCUCGGAAUCACUGGGCGUAAAGAGCUCGUAGGCGGUUUCGUAAGUCGGAUGUGAAAACUCCAGGCUCAACUUGGAGACGCCAUUCGAUACUGCGAUGACUUGAGUCCGGUAGGGGAGUGUGGAAUUCCUGGUGUAGCGGUGAAAUGCGCAGAUAUCAGGAGGAACACCGGCGGCGAAGGCGGCACUCUGGGCCGGCACUGACGCUGAGGAGCGAAAGCGUGGGUAGCAAA